RNAcentral lists this ribosomal RNA (407 nucleotides) under uncultured bacterium. RNAcentral describes it as "partial 16S ribosomal RNA". It matches the Rfam family "Bacterial small subunit ribosomal RNA", at positions 30 to 526 of the family's 1533-position model. The record is from RNAcentral.
AUUGAACGCUGGCGGCAGGCCUAACACAUGCAAGUCGAGCGGAGCGGCGGACGGGUAAGUAAUGCCUAGGAAUCUGCCUGGUAGUGGGGGAUACAUUCCGGAGACGGGCCCUAUUACAGCAUCCUUUCAAAUGGCCCUCGGUCGGAUUAGCUGGUUGGUGGGGUAAAGGCCUACAAAGGCGACGAUCCGUAACUGGUCUGAGAGGAUGAUCAGUCACACUGGAACUGAGACACGGUCCAGACUCCUACGGGAGGCAGCAGUGGGGAAUAUUGGACAAUGGUCGAAAGCCUGAUCCAGCCAUGCCGCGUGUGUGAAGAAGGUCUUCGGAUUGUAAAGCACUUUAAGUUGGGAGGCGGUACCAACAGAAUAAGCACCGGCUAACUUCGUGCCAGCAGCCGCGGUAAUAC